GCAGGGGUCAGCCUAACUAAAUUGCAGUUUUGAGCUACAACAGAUCUUGAAAGCACCAACGCCCUAGUUGGGGCUGCCUUUCCUGCUUGUUUGUGCAAGUAAGAAAGUGCUUGAUACUUGGAGCUCUUCCCCACACUCCUGUGGAUCCGCUUCCACUUAUCCCUUCUCCCUUCUGUCCCCUCCUGUUUGGAAGAGACAUCUGCUAUUUUAAUGAAAGCAUGGAACGAAGCACUUGCCGUAAGCCCGGCGGAGCUCGACCAGAUGUUUCACAGUGCAAGAAGCUAGGUAACGGAACAAAGGUUACAAAAGAGACCUGCAGAGGUGAAAGUGAGGCUCCACAGGGCAAGCUCACAAAUUUGGAUAGAACCAAAAUGGAACAAUUGGUGAACUCUGUGAAAAACAAUCUUAGUGAAAUGAAUGAUCAGUUAGAAGAUAUGCUGAAACACCUACAGUUUUUGAAAGAAAGAUUCAGAGGUGAAAGUGAGGCUCCACAGGGCAAGCUCACAAAUUUGGAUAGAACCAAAAUGGAACAAUUGGUGAACUCUGUGAAAAACAAUCUUAGAAGUGAAAUGAGCACUCUAUAUGAAGAUAUGGGGAAAUACCUACAGUUUUUGAAAGAAAGACUCAGGGAGCUUCCCAAAAUGGUCAGCGCAGAAGAGUUUCAUCAGAAGGAAGAAGAAUGUGAAAAGCUGAAGGAACAGAAGAGAGUCUUGGAGCAAAAAUUGGACCUUGUCUUGGCCAAUGCAAUGAGAAGCCAUAAGUUCUCUGAGAACUUGAAUGACCCCUGUCGAUUAUCAGCUGUGUUGGAGAUGUACGACAGGCUCAGGAUACAUGAAUGGGAGAAAGCCAAAUGUGCUGCAAGUGUCUCCACCUUUCCAAUGACGUAUGAAAAAGGUAGCACGAUAAUUAAGGCUGUGUUUUCCAUAUGUGAAGAAGAGCUGUCACAAAGA
RNAcentral lists this long non-coding RNA (950 nucleotides) under Chelonoidis abingdonii (Abingdon island giant tortoise). RNAcentral describes it as "lncRNA (ENSCABG00000011524.1)". The record is from RNAcentral. Lineage: Eukaryota; Metazoa; Chordata; Testudines; Testudinidae.